CGAAGUAUGUCUUCCAUGCAAAUUUUGUAAAGAAAGAGUUUCGACAGAAAUUUUAACAGAUCAUCUGCAAACACUGGUUUUACAAAAUAUAUGAGCUUUAAAAGUUUUUCUUAAUUGUUUUUGCAAUUAUUCUUACAGUUGUUCUUUCGUGGCAACAGUUCCAGAUAAAACUGCGAUGCGGAGGACGAGAAGAUGAAAGAAGUAGAAGUCAGGGCUGUAAGUUAUUCUAUCAUUUAUCAAAUCUAAAAA
This is a long non-coding RNA of Xenia sp. Carnegie-2017, 249 nucleotides long. RefSeq lists it as uncharacterized. The record is from RefSeq and is a predicted model, not a curated record. The transcript has 2 exons. Lineage: Eukaryota; Metazoa; Cnidaria; Anthozoa; Malacalcyonacea; Xeniidae.